AAUAUGAUGUUUUACAUCUUUUCCUGUUGUUCAUAAGUUAAUCCCGUUUUUGAGCUUUAUCCGCUGAAAAGCAUAAGUAAUUAUUUAGAAUACAGGUUAAAGAUAUGUCUAACAUGAUCACCGGUACCGUUAAGUUUUUCAACGAAACCAAAGGUUUUGGCUUCAUCCAGCAAGAAAACGGCCCGGACGUUUUCGUUCACUUCAGCGCUAUCAGCGGUAACGGUUUCCGUACCCUGGCUGAAGGUCAGCGCGUACAGUUUUCUGUGACCCAAGGUCAGAAAGGCCCGCAGGCUGAGAACGUAACUGCUCUGUAAUUCUUACAGAAUUUAAGAAAGCCGUGGUGCCUCUGGUUCCACGGCUUUU
Molecule: small RNA, 363 nt
Filed under: Aeromonas salmonicida
Lineage: Bacteria; Pseudomonadati; Pseudomonadota; Gammaproteobacteria; Aeromonadales; Aeromonadaceae
Also listed under: 1 other name
Description: cspA
Rfam family: cspA thermoregulator
Source: RNAcentral